GUUGUACAAACUUUCUCUGUUGAUAUUAAUAUAGUUCCUCAUCAUUUUACCAAAAAAAAAAAAAUUUACCCACUAUUACAAUGAUAAAAAAAUCCAUCUCUGCAGAUGAGGGGUAAGAAGGGAACAAAAAUCAUACAAGGGGGUUGGGUUGGGGGGGGGGGGGAGGAAGAAAUGAUGGGCGGAUUUCACAAUUUGCCAUAUUUCUCUUAACAUCAAUCUUAAUAAAAUAAUUUAAAAAUAAAUUUAUUUUUACUAAUAGAAUCAUUAAUAUUAUGAUAAAUAUAUAUAUAUAUAGUAUUUUUUUUCUUUCUUAUUUUCAGUACAUAUUUUUUAUCAGUAUAUAUUAUAUGACUGUAUAAUAUAUACUAAAUAAAUUAAUCAUCAAAUAAGUUAAUACACAUCUCUAAAUAAAUUAAUAUAUAAUUUUUAAAAUAUCGAGUUCAUCAAUAUACCGUAUAUAGUCACAUAGUACACAGUUAGCAAAUUAGUUAUCCAGCAAUACAAUACACACCUCCAAGCAAAUUGAUAUACAGUUUCUGAAAUAUUAUGUUCAUCAAUACAUACUAUAUAGUCGGUGAUACUCAUCGAAUUUUUUAUACAUACCGCAAGUAUUUUUUAUAUAUACUUAAUAACAAUCUAAUACAUAUCUCUAAAUAAAAUACAUAUUUUAAAAAUUAUAUAUCAAUUUAUCUAAAAAUAUGUAUUAAAUUAUUACUGGAUAUAUAUCAAAAAAACUUAUGAUAUGUAUCAAGAAGUCGAAAAGUAUAUGUCACCAUACAAUAUAGUAUGUAUUGGUGAAUAUAAUAUUUCAAAAAUUAUAUAUUAAUUUGUUUAGAAGUGUACACUAGAUUGUUAAAUGACUUAUUUACUAAGUAUAUAUCAUCUAAUUAUAUACUAUGUAUUGAUGAACUUCAUAUUCUAAAAACUAUAUAUCAAUUUAUCUUGAAA
Molecule: long non-coding RNA, 948 nt
Filed under: Elaeis guineensis (African oil palm)
Lineage: Eukaryota; Viridiplantae; Streptophyta; Magnoliopsida; Arecales; Arecaceae
Description: long non-coding RNA (EGUI_LNC006588)
Source: RNAcentral